AUGCACGCCAGGCUGCUCGGCGCUCCGUCCCGCGCCUCCGCCUGCACCUCCUCCUCGUCCUUCCCCUCCGCCGGCCGCCACCCGUGCCGCGCGUCCUGGAAGCCGCGGCCGCCAAGCCGGAGCUCCGCCUCGCCGCCGCCUCUCUCGCUGUUGCGCGCCGGCGCAUCCAUGGAGCCCGCUUCGACGGAGGGGCAGAGCGACCCGACUGUGCACGGCGUGGCCGAUAGGGUCGUUGGGGUGCUGGGGGGCGGCCAGUUGGGGAAGAUGCUGUGCCAGGCGGCCAGUCAGAUGGGGAUCAAAGUGGCCAUCCUGGACCCCCUCAAGGACUGCCCCGCAAACUCCGUCUGUCACGAGCAUGUCGUGGGGAGCUUUAAUGAUGGUGACGCGGUCCGUGAGUUCGCGAAGAGGUGUGAUGUUCUAACUGUGGAAAUUGAGCAUGUGGAUGCUGUGGCACUUGAGAAGCUUGAAAAACAGGGUGUUGUUUGUGAACCCAAAGCCUCUACCAUCGCGAUUAUUCAGGACAAGUACAGGCAGAAAGGCCAUUUCUCAAAAUUUGGAAUUCCGAUAGCUGACUUUGUUGAAGUUGAUACUUUAAGUAGCAUAGAGAAUGCUGGGGAAAUGUUUGGCUAUCCCUUAAUGGUUAAAAGCAAAAGAUUGGCAUAUGAUGGUCGUGGGAAUGCUGUUGCUCACAAUAAAGAGGAGCUAUCUUCUGUUGUUUCUUCACUGGGUGGAUUUGAGCAUGGCCUGUAUGUUGAGCGGUGGACACCUUUUGCGAAGGAGCUAUCUGUAAUUGUGGCAAGGAGCAGAGAUGGUUGUACAGUCUGUUAUCCUGUCGUUGAAACCAUUCAUAAGGAUAACAUCUGCCAUGUUGUUGAAGCUCCUGCUCAGAUACCUGAGAAAAUGAAGAAGUUAGCUACCAGUGUAGCUGAAAAAGCUAUCAAAUCGUUAGAAGGUGCUGGUGUUUUCGCUGUCGAACUAUUUUUAACAAAUGACAAUCAGGCUUUAUUGAACGAAGUAGCCCCUAGACCUCACAAUAGUGGACACCAUACAAUCGAGGCAUGUUACACUUCACAAUAUGAGCAACAUUUACGUGCUAUUCUUGGACUUCCUCUUGGUGAUCCUGCAAUGAAAGCACCCGCAGCAAUAAUGUACAACAUCCUGGGCGAGGAUGAGGGCGAUUCGGGAUUUGUUUUAGCCCAUCAGCUGAUUAAGAGGGCGUUAAAUAUUCCAGGUGCAUCAGUCCAUUGGUAUGCAAAGCCAGAGAUUCGGAAGCAAAGAAAGAUGGGUCAUAUUACAAUUGUGGGGCCUUCUAUGUUCGAUGUAAAAGCACAUUUGGACAGGUUGCUGCAAAGAGACACAGAUGGCCCAAAGAAAGUUAGACCUCGUGCUGCGGUUAUAAUGGGCUCGGAUUCUGAUCUUCCCAUAAUGAAAGAUGCUGCAGCAAUACUGGAGAAAUUCAACAUACCUUUUGAGCUUACAAUUGUUUCGGCACAUCGUACACCAGAGAGGAUGUACGCUUAUUCAUUGUCUGCUAAGGAAAGGGGCUUAGAGGUCAUUAUUGCAGGCGCAGGUGGAGCAGCUCACUUACCAGGCAUGGUGGCUUCAUUGACUACUCUCCCUGUAAUUGGAGUCCCCAUCUGGACUAAGUCAUUACAGGGAACGGAUUCUCUCCUAUCUAUUGUGCAGAUGCCGAAAGGUAUUCCUGUUGCUACUGUUGCAAUUGGAAAUGCUGAAAAUGCAGGCUUGUUGGCAGUUCGGAUGCUUGCCUCAAGAGAUACUGAGUUGUCGGACAGGGUAAAUGAAUACCAGCAAAAUCUGGAAGACAGUGUGUUGGUCAAAGCAAGAUUGCUCGAGGAAUUAGGUUGGGACAAAUAUCUGGAGCAAUGUAUGAAGCCUUGA
This 1899-nucleotide ribosomal RNA is filed under the name Triticum aestivum (bread wheat). RNAcentral describes it as "partial small subunit ribosomal RNA". The record is from RNAcentral. Lineage: Eukaryota; Viridiplantae; Streptophyta; Magnoliopsida; Poales; Poaceae.